Pongo pygmaeus (Bornean orangutan) is the source of this 1325-nucleotide long non-coding RNA. RefSeq lists it as uncharacterized. The transcript has 5 exons. NCBI's taxonomy places the organism in Eukaryota, Metazoa, Chordata, Mammalia, Primates, Hominidae. The record is from RefSeq and is a predicted model, not a curated record.
CUCCACACAUCUCUGCACUACUGUACACCACCAGCAAGCUAAUAUGGGUUCAGUCUCCCUGUCCGAAUUUCACAUCAGAGCAUCUCAUUCCAUUUCCAAGAAGCCUGGAGAUAAAUGAGUUCACUGUUCAACUCCAGGCCCCAGCCUCUGACAUCAAGCUCUGGAUCGUCUGCUGACUGAAGUGCUAGAAGACAAAGAAACUGAAUAGAAGGAAGGCUCAUGGGACCCCUGCAUUCUGCUUGCUUAUUCUUAGAGACCACCCCUCCACAGAAGACUUCUUAGCAAGAGUACCCUCAGAAAUGAAGAACUAAAGGAAUGGGAAGAUCCGUGUAUUUUUAUGGACAGUGGUGCAGAAGUAUGACUGGAGAAAAAAAACCAGGAAGUUCUAAUUCCAAACUCAAGUCCCUUCAGCUCUAGUUCAGCCUCAGCAAGUGCUAAGGUCAUGCGAUGACUCUGCCCCUCUCUGAGCCCAUGUCUCCAGCCUGGCUGCUUCAGGCAAGCUUUGGUGCACGCUCUGUCCUAGGAGGAUCCUCAUGUCUGGGUCAAUGCUCUGCUCAAGCAGCAGGACCACAGUGGUGGUUUGUAAUCAGAAGACAUCUUCAUUUUCCUUCUCCUGGACUUGGCUGCUGGACAAGACGGUACCAUCAGGCUGUGGCUUCUGAGGAGAGAACACUUCCCCACACCGCUUAGCCAUGCGUGGAAGACUCUCUGCAUCACCAAAUCUCUCACCGAAGCAAGCCCUGUGGGGCCCCACAGCGACUCAGGGUCACCACUCCAGACCCAUGAGGGAUGCCUUAUGACGGCAACAGAAUGAGAAGCUACCAGGAUUUCCUCGCUGCUUUCCAGACAAAGCCCAAAGGCUGCCUGGUGCAGACAUGCCUUGCCCUCUCUCCCCAGGGCUGCUGGCUGUUGGACACCAGGAAUCACGACCACCUUGACCUCUGAAUCUCUAACAUCAGCAAGCAUCCAUUAGGGUCUUAGCUUACCUGUCUUUCCCAUAAAAGAGAAUAAUAGAAGGACAUUGCCUUGCUGUGGUUCUGCACCAGUUGCUGUGUCUGGAUAUGAAACAGUUCUAGCGAGAUCCUGGUUAAAAUGCUAAGCAAAAGCAAAGCUUUAUGAAGCACAUAAUAUUCAUACAAGUUUAAGAAAAAUAUCCAUCCAUUCGGAGAACAAAUGUUUUUGAAACUCUAUGCAAACUCUAAUUACCAUGCAUUUUUACUUUUCAUUAUAGUAGGUUCUUAGAGGACUUUUACUUCAUAGCAUUUUAUACCUGAGUUGUUGUUAUUAUUGAAAGAAAAUUGAAAUAAACUAUUCACAAUCCUUUA